Molecule: ribosomal RNA, 253 nt
Filed under: uncultured bacterium
Lineage: Bacteria
Description: partial 16S ribosomal RNA
Rfam family: Bacterial small subunit ribosomal RNA
Source: RNAcentral
UACGAAGGGGGCUAGCGUUGCUCGGAAUGACUGGGCGUAAAGGGCGCGUAGGCGGCCUGGCAAGUGGGAGGUGAAAUCCCUCGGCUUAACCGAGGAACUGCCUCCCAAACUGCUUGGCUUGAGACCAGGAGAGGUGAGUGGAAUUCCCAGUGUAGCGGUGAAAUGCGUAGAUAUUGGGAGGAACACCAGUGGCGAAGGCGGCUCACUGGACUGGUACUGACGCUGAGGCGCGAAAGCGUGGGGAGCAAACGGG